Molecule: ribosomal RNA, 687 nt
Filed under: uncultured bacterium
Lineage: Bacteria
Description: bacterial SSU rRNA
Rfam family: Bacterial small subunit ribosomal RNA
Source: RNAcentral
UACAGAGAUGGCAAGCGUUGUUCGGAAUCAUUGGGCGUAAAGCGCACGUAGGCGGCCUCGUAAGUCGGGUGUGAAAGCCCCUGACUCACUCAGGGAACUGCAUUCGAUACUGCGAGGCUUGAGGACAGGAGGGGAGAGUGGAACUUCUGGUGGAGCGGUGAAAUGCGUAGAUAUCAGAAGGAACACCGGUGGCGAAAGCGGCUCUCUGGUCUGUCCCUGACGCUGAGGUGCGAAAGCUAGGGGAGCAAACGGGAUUAGAUACCCCGGUAGUCCUAGCCGUAAACGAUGGGCACUAAGUAGGGGGCUAAAACCUCCCUGCCGUAGCUAACGCAUUAAGUGCCCCGCCUGGGGAGUACGGUCGCAAGACUAAAACUCAAAAGAAUUGACGGGGGCUCGCACAAGCGGUGGAGCAUGUGGCUUAAUUCGAUGCAACGCGAAGAACCUUACCGGGGCUUGACAUGAUGGAAGUAGGAACCCGAAAGGGGGACCAACGGUAUCCAAUCCGUAACCACCACAGGUGCUGCAUGGCUGUCGUCAGCUCGUGCCGUGAGGCGUCGGGUUAAGUCCUCUAACGAGCGAAACCCUUAUCUCUAGUUGCCAGCGGGUCACGCCGGGAACUCUGGAGAGACUGCCGUCGUCAAGACGGAGGAAGGUGGGGAUGACGUCAAGUCAUCAUGGCCUUUAUGC